Molecule: ribosomal RNA, 465 nt
Filed under: Vreelandella stevensii
Lineage: Bacteria; Pseudomonadati; Pseudomonadota; Gammaproteobacteria; Oceanospirillales; Halomonadaceae
Description: partial 16S ribosomal RNA
Rfam family: Bacterial small subunit ribosomal RNA
Source: RNAcentral
CCUACGGGCGGCAGCAGUGGGGAAUAUUGGACAAUGGGGGCAACCCUGAUCCAGCCAUGCCGCGUGUGUGAAGAAGGCCCUCGGGUUGUAAAGCACUUUCAGUGAGGAAGAACGCCUGGUGGUUAAUACCCAUCAGGAAAGACAUCACUCACAGAAGAAGCACCGGCUAACUCCGUGCCAGCAGCCGCGGUAAUACGGAGGGUGCGAGCGUUAAUCGGAAUUACUGGGCGUAAAGCGCGCGUAGGUGGCUUGAUAAGCCGGUUGUGAAAGCCCCGGGCUCAACCUGGGAACGGCAUCCGGAACUGUCAAGCUAGAGUGCAGGAGAGGAAGGUAGAAUUCCCGGUGUAGCGGUGAAAUGCGUAGAGCUCGGGAGGAAUACCAGUGGCGAAGGCGGCCUUCUGGACUGACACUGACACUGAGGUGCGAAAGCGUGGGUAGCAAACAGAAUUAGAUACCCCAGUAGUC